RNAcentral lists this ribosomal RNA (467 nucleotides) under uncultured bacterium. RNAcentral's name for it is "partial 16S ribosomal RNA". It matches the Rfam family "Bacterial small subunit ribosomal RNA", at positions 28 to 507 of the family's 1533-position model. The record is from RNAcentral.
GACGAACGCUGGCGGCGUGCUUAACACAUGCAAGUCGAACGGAAAGGCCCUGCUUUUGUGGGUGCUCGAGUGGCGAACGGGUGAGUAACACGUGAGUAACCUGCCCUUGACUUUGGGAUAACUUCAGGAAACUGGGGCUAAUACCGGAUAGGAGCUCCUGCUGCAUGGUGGGGGUUGGAAGGUUUCGGCGGUUGGGGAUGGACUCGCGGCUUAUCAGCUUGUUGGUGGGGUAGUGGCUUACCAAGGCUUUGACGGGUAGCCGGCCUGAGAGGGUGACCGGCCACAUUGGGGCUGAGAUACGGCCCAGACUCCUACGGGAGGCAGCAGUGGGGAAUAUUGCACAAUGGGCGGAAGCCUGAUGCAGCAACGCCGCGUGCGGGAUGACGGCCUUCGGGUUGUAAACCGCUUUCGCCUGUGACGAAGCGUGAGUGACGGUAAUGGGUAAAGAAGCACCGGCUAACUACGUG